GAGGAUGGUUCAGGGGGUAGUGCGAGCGACCGGGAGCGGCAGAUGAAGCUUCGCUCGCUCACCUCCUGUGUGGCCCGGUUCCUAACGGGCAGCAGACUGGUACUGGCCCGCUGAUCUAUCACACAAAAUUAAACUGGAAAGAAUCUUCUCUACCCCCCAUUGGAUUAUUUGGGAGAACUGUAGACUGAAAUAAAAACACACCACGUGAGAGCUGUGACUUUCAGUUUUAUUUGGGGAUUUACCGAGGACUAUAGCCCAGGACACAGCCUCUCGGAUGGCUCUGAGAAACUGUUCAGAAGGGGGGAAGGGGUGGUCAGCAUAUAUGUGAUUUUGGAGAAGGGUACCUGCAACCAAGCACACAUCUCGCUAGAAGGUUACCGCUAGCCACGGGGAAUAGACAUCUUACUUAAAGAUUUUAGCGCUUUUCCAAGUAUGGGAAGACGCAAGAACUUGUGUUCAUAAAAUUUUCUCCUGAAAAUAUCUAACCGAAGGCUGUUAUGCCAGUUUUCCCAGAGCCCAGAGCACCUCAUUCCUGAUCUCCACCCUGAACCCCUUUCAGGGUGUGUUGAAGAUCAGUGACGGCAGUGGUGGAUGACUCAAUCCUGGUACAGCUGGAUGGCGAGCGAUAUUCUUUGGCUGGCAGAAUUGGUUUAAUCCCACCUAGACCUUUCACCGAGGCACCUCCAGAUCUUGAGUGGGAAAAGCCACAGCACGGAGGGAAGUGGCCUCUCCUAGCUGGCUCCGUGCAGCUGGGCCACAGCCGCCCCAUCUGCCUCUCUCCCUCCUCCUGUCCUUCUAGGGCUCUGGCUUCAGCCACUAGCGUCCUAGAGGCUUUCCACCGAGAGAGACCACAAAACCAAAUCACAUAAGUGGAGAGCAAGGGGGGGCCAGUGCUGAAAGCCAGCAUCGUGGAGAGACAGCUUUCAUCCUGCUCGCUCCAGCCUUGACAGCUAAAAUUAAUCACCUGGGUGACGAAAGUGAUGCAGACGAACAGCAGCCCGCCGAGCAAACCUGGGAGCUCAGAAUCCAUCAGGCUGGGAGGACUGAGUUGGUACACGUGAAACCCUGAGAACCGGCCCCGGCCCACUGAUUGGGCUCAGGCAUGAGACUACGCACAGCUCUGACCAUAUCAGAAGGAACACAAGGUCCAGCCUUUUAUAUGGAGCAUUCCCAGGAGGCAAACCCAGAGGCAUUCUCCCCUCUCCUUUCUCAUUUCACCCGUCCUUGUUGUCACUCCUCUCCAAGGAGCCUGCAAGAAGGGCCUGUGCCCAGAACAGUCAGGAUUUCUACUUCAAGACGUGCCCUGGGACCAUAGUAGGGACAUGGCUUUACACCUUUCCAAAUGCGGUCACAGCCAUCAUCUGACGCCACCCUACAACUGGGAUAAGAAACCACUUUCUCCAAGUCUCGUUCCCCAUCCUGUAGGGCAGGAUCCUGAGGCAUCGCAGGGUGGGAUGCUUGGAGAUGAAGACACUGGGGAAGGCGACCUGCCACGUUGGCCAAUGACACCUGCUUUACUUCCACCAUAAUCGACGCAUCAGAAGAGCAGCCUCAGGCAGGUGCCCAGAACUGGGGGAAUUUCUCUCAAAGAGGAUCACCCUCUGACCAACCAAUAUAAUAUCUAUCUAUCUCCACUCUUCUUCGAAACUGCAUUUCUCAGCACAAACCCACAAACUGGCAGCAUGACCAGUAUCCCUAAGGAAGAGGAAGCCAAGAAGGAGAUGCCUUCAGUCCUCUGCCUGUCACCUGCCAGAGAACCAAGAUGCUUGGUGGAUGGCCUUCCUUUCUCCAAACUGCCAUCAGUUGUGACAUCACUGUCAGCUGUGCCCGGUGUCUAACUUUUCAUCUGUAUCAAUCAGCAUUGAGAGUCCGCCAGGUGCCCAGGUGGAGAGGCUCGGCCCCAGGCUAGUAGCCGGCCUCUCCAGUCCCCCACCCUCUGGCUUCUUAUCAGCUCCAUGCUGUCUCUUUGCAUUAAAGUGACAAGAAGCAGCACAAGGCUGCCGACAGGAGUCUGGAGCUGUAAUUUGCACUGACAUUCACUGGCGUUAUCCACUUAUUGCCUGGCAGGUUGUGGAGUGCCUACAGUGGCCAGGCGUGUCCAAAUGCUCUGUAUGCUUGAACUCAUUGGAUCGUCUUGACAACCCCACAUGGCAGUCUCCUCUUUCUCGAAGUGACUCAAAGGUGUUCCCCACCCGCUGCUUGGAAAGGCAUUGCCCGGCAGGUUCACCGGGUCAGAGGAAAAGCCCUUGGCAUCCGGAACACGGAACACCGGCCUGCAGACGUCAGCAGGAAGCAAGGACGGCCAGGAGGAGGGAAGUGACAACUCCCUGUCGGGCGUGGCGCUUGCGUUGGCAGGCAAAAGAGACCCCCAAAAUGUCAGACACUGCUGGAUCUUGAAGGGAAGGGUAAAACAGGUUAGGAAAAGUGUAAAGCAAUCCUGUCCCUCCAUUCCUAGGACCAAAGACUCGAUGAUCAAAACAGACCCUGCCAGUUUCCAAGGCCCUGGUUUAUUCUUGGUGCACUCUGGAUACUCCUGGAGCAUUCAUUCAUUCAUUCUCACACUCCUGGCUGCCGAAGAUACAAGAUAAUGAAACCCUACGUCCACCCUCAGGAAAUGUUACAAAAAUGAAAGGCGCCUGCGCGAGCACACACGUGACUUCUCCCGGGUAUGAGGAACUCCUUAUCGCGUUGUUCCUUCAGACGGCUGCCUCCUGGUCCAGUCUUGUGCCCAGAAGAUGGUUUUUCUUGGCUCUGGGACUAAAUGGAGUGAACACCUGGUCCAGAUUUGCUUGGCUCUUUCUUCUCUAAGCAACUAAUUCCUGAUGGAAAAUAUGCUUACACCACUUAGACUCACACCAAAGACAAGGGAGAACUUCCAUUUAUCCUGUCGCUUUGAUUUCAUUUCUGCUUCCUGAAGGUGUAGUCAGCCCAGGCAAGCCUCAUCCGGGGCUUCGCGACACAGAAAAGAGUUUGGGCGGGCUGACUGCAUGAUUAUCACAGUGCAACAGAACCUUGGCAGUAGCCUUUUAAGCAG
Long non-coding RNA from Aethalodelphis obliquidens (Pacific white-sided dolphin), 3034 nucleotides. RefSeq lists it as uncharacterized. The transcript is spliced from 12 exons. NCBI's taxonomy places the organism in Eukaryota, Metazoa, Chordata, Mammalia, Artiodactyla, Delphinidae. The record is from RefSeq and is a predicted model, not a curated record.